RNAcentral lists this transfer RNA (62 nucleotides) under Cassida circumdata. Its description in RNAcentral is "tRNA-Trp". Lineage: Eukaryota; Metazoa; Arthropoda; Insecta; Coleoptera; Chrysomelidae. The record is from RNAcentral.
AAGGAUUUAAGUUAAAAAAACUAUUAACCUUCAAAGUUAAAAAUAGGAAAACCUAAGCCUUA